RNAcentral lists this long non-coding RNA (290 nucleotides) under Trifolium pratense (red clover). Its description in RNAcentral is "long non-coding RNA (TPRA_LNC010847)". The record is from RNAcentral. Lineage: Eukaryota; Viridiplantae; Streptophyta; Magnoliopsida; Fabales; Fabaceae.
AGGCUCUCUAGAUGCUUCCUAGUGGUGCACUAAGUCAUUAUAGUGGCUAGUGGGAAUUUAUAAGCAUGUUAGUGGGAAUUUUCUAAGUCCUAUGGUGAAUGUAUGGUAGUGGACAAUAAAUCAUACUAUGUAAGAAUAUGCUAUAAAUAGGACUAUCAUGUACUUUUCAAAGGAACUUGGAAUAUAAUCUAAUUUGAGAGUUUCUCUUGUGAGAACUUUUUCUUUGUUCUUGUGAUAAGAACAUUGUUCUUGAGAUAAGAACUUUAUAGUGUUGGUUCUACCGGCAGNNN